Molecule: ribosomal RNA, 757 nt
Filed under: Clostridium botulinum
Lineage: Bacteria; Bacillati; Bacillota; Clostridia; Eubacteriales; Clostridiaceae
Description: partial 23S ribosomal RNA
Rfam family: Bacterial large subunit ribosomal RNA
Source: RNAcentral
UUUUAAGGUCAAGCUACAAAGGGCGCAUGGUGAAUGCCUUGGCACUAGGAGCCGAAGAAGGACGCGAUAAGCUGCGAUAAGCCUUGGGUAGCCGCAAAUAGGCUGAGAUCCAGGGAUUUCCGAAUGAGGAAACUCACAUGGGUAACCCCAUGUAUCAUGCACUGAAUACAUAGGUGUAUGAGGGUAAACCCGGGGAACUGAAACAUCUAAGUACCCGGAGGAAGAGAAAGAAAAAUCGAUUUCCUAAGUAGCGGCGAGCGAACGGGAAAGAGCCCAAACCAGAAACUUGUUUCUGGGGUUGUGGAUAGAUCAUGAAAGAAGAGAUAUCUUAAUCGAAGAGGGCUGGAACGCCCUACCAUAGAAGGUAAUAGUCCUGUAGGUAAAAAGAGAAAACUUUAAGAUCUAAUCCAGAGUACCACGAGACACGUGAAACCUUGUGGGAAGCAGGGAGGACCACCUCCCAAGGCUAAAUACUACCUAGUGACCGAUAGUGAAGCAGUACCGUGAGGGAAAGGUGAAAAGAACCCCGGAAGGGGAGUGAAAUAGAACCUGAAACCGUGUGCCUACAACCGAUCGGAGCACGUUAAAGUGUGACGAUGUGCUUUUUGUAGAACGAGCCAGCGAGUUACACUAUGUAGCAAGGUUAAGUACUUAAGGUAUGGAGCCGAAGGGAAACCGAGUCUGAAAAGGGCGAAAAGUUGCAUGGUGUAGACCCGAAACCGGGUGACCUAUCCAUGGCCAGGUUGAAGCGAGAGUA